UCAAACUUGGUCAUUUAGAGGAAGUAAAAGUCGUAACAAGGUUUCCGUAGGUGAACCUGCGGAAGGAUCAUCAAAGGGGGGAGGGCAAGGAUCUGAGGAUCUCUUGCCCCCAACCAAUCUUGUGUGAACUGUAGCGAGCAUACGCGUGGGUGUGUUGGUGGGGAAGGGAGUGUCUCUUGCCCACCGCCAUCACGCUUGCACAACUAUUCUGUUUAUCUUGUCUAACCUGUCACAAAUAACAACACAACUUUUAACAAUGGAUCUCUUGGCUCUCGCAUCGAUGAAGAACGCAGC
This 294-nucleotide unclassified non-coding RNA is filed under the name uncultured fungus. Its description in RNAcentral is "partial contains small subunit ribosomal RNA, internal transcribed spacer 1, and 5.8S ribosomal RNA". The stretch from base 1 to 73 matches the Rfam family "Eukaryotic small subunit ribosomal RNA", at positions 1759 to 1831 of the family's 1831-position model. The record is from RNAcentral. Lineage: Eukaryota; Fungi.